GAUGAACGCUAGCGGCAGGCCUAACACAUGCAAGUCGAGGGGUAGAAUUAGCUUGCUAAUUUGAGACCGGCGCACGGGUGCGUAACGCGUAUGCAAUCUACCUUGUACAGGGGGAUAGCCCAGAGAAAUUUGGAUUAAUACUCCAUGGUAUAAUUGAAUCGCAUGGUUUGAUUAUUAAAGUUCCAACGGUACAAGAUGAGCAUGCGUCCCAUUAGCUAGUUGGUGUGGUAACGGCAUACCAAGGCGACGAUGGGUAGGGGUCCUGAGAGGGAGAUCCCCCACACUGGUACUGAGACACGGACCAGACUCCUACGGGAGGCAGCAGUGAGGAAUAUUGGUCAAUGGUCGGAAGACUGAACCAGCCAUGCCGCGUGCAGGAAGACGGUCCUAUGGAUUGUAAACUGCUUUUGUACGGGAAGAAACACUCCUUCGUGAAGGAGCUUGACGGUACUGUAAGAAUAAGGAUCGGCUAACUCCGUG
Molecule: ribosomal RNA, 480 nt
Filed under: uncultured bacterium
Lineage: Bacteria
Description: bacterial SSU rRNA
Rfam family: Bacterial small subunit ribosomal RNA
Source: RNAcentral